RNAcentral lists this ribosomal RNA (761 nucleotides) under uncultured archaeon. RNAcentral describes it as "bacterial SSU rRNA". It matches the Rfam family "Archaeal small subunit ribosomal RNA", at positions 111 to 879 of the family's 1478-position model. The record is from RNAcentral.
CCCCUUGGGAGGGGGAAACCCCGGGAAACUGGGGAAAUACCCCAUAGACUAUGAAUGCUGGAAUGCUUUGUAGUUGAAAGGUCCGCCGCCAUAGGAUGGGUCUGCGGCCGAUUAGGUUGUUGUUGGGGUAACGGCCCAACAAGCCUGUAAUCGGUACGGGUUGUGGGAGCAAGAGCCCGGAGAUGGAUUCUGAGACACGAAUCCAGGCCCUACGGGGCGCAGCAGGCGCGAAAACUUUACGAUGCGGGAAACCGUGAUAAGGGAACUCCGAGUGCCCGUAAAAUCGGGCUGUCCAUCUGUUUAAAUAACAGGUGAAGAAAGGGCCGGGCAAGACCGGUGCCAGCCGCCGCGGUAAUACCGGCGGCUCGAGUGGUGGCCACUAUUACUGGGCUUAAAGCGUUCGUAGCUGGCCUGUUAAGUCUCUGGGGAAAUCUACUGGCUUAACCAAUAGGCGUCUCAGGGAUACUGGCAGACUAGGGACCGGGAGAGGUGAGAGGUACUCCAGGGGUAGGAGUGAAAUCCUGUAAUCCUUGGGGGACCACCUGUGGCGAAGACGUCUCACCGGAACGGCUCCGACAGUGAGGGACGAAAGCUGGGGGAGCAAACCGGAUUAGAUACCCGGGUAGUCCCAGCUGUAAACGAUGCGCGUUAGGUGUAUCGGUGACCACGAGUCAUCGAGGUGCCGAAGAGAAAUCGUGAAACGUGCCGCCUGGGAAGUACGGUCGCAAGGCUGAAACUUAAAGGAAUUGGCGGGGGAGCAC